GACGGUACCUGACUAAGAAGCCCCGGCUAACUACGUGCCAGCAGCCGCGGUAAUACGUAGGGGGCAAGCGUUAUCCGGAUUUACUGGGUGUAAAGGGAGCGUAGACGGCAGCACAAGUCUGGAGUGAAAUCCCGGGGCUUAACCCCGGAACUGCUUUGGAAACUGUGCGGCUGGAGUGCAGGAGGGGUAAGCGGAAUUCCUAGUGUAGCGGUGAAAUGCGUAGAUAUUAGGAGGAACACCGGUGGCGAAGGCGGCUUACUGGACUGUAACUGACGUUGAGGCUCGAAAGCGUGGGGAGCAAACAGAAUUAGAUACCCUGGUAGUCCACGCCGUAAACGAUGAUUUACUAGGUGUCGGGGGAACCAAGGUCCCUCCGGUGCCCGGCGCAAACCGCUUUAAGUAAUCCACCCUGGGGAUGUACGUUCCAAGAAAUGAAUCUCAAAGGAAUUGACCGGGGACCCGCACAAGCGGGGGAGCAUGUGGUUUAAUUGGAAGCAACGCGAAGAACCUUACCUGGUCUUAACAUCCGGAUGCCGUAUGGGCAAUGCCAUAUUUCCUUCGGGGACGUCCGAGACAGGUGGUGCAUGGUUGUUGUCAGCUCGUGUCGUGAGAUGUUGGGUUAAGUCCCGCAACGAGCGCAACCCCUAUUUCCAGUAGCCAGCAGGUAAGGCUGGGCACUCUGGAGAGACUGCCCGGGACAACCGGGAGGAAGGCGGGGAUGACGUCAAAUCAUCAUGCCCCUUAUGACCAGGGCGACACUCGUGCUACAAUGGCGUAAACAAAGGGAAGCAGGACGGCGACGUUGAGCAAAUCCCAGAAAUAACGUCCCAGUUCGGAUCGUAGUCUGCAACCCGACUACAUGAAGCUGGAAUCGCUAGUAAUCGCGAAUCAGAAUGUCGAAGAGAAUACGUUCCCGGGUCUUGUACACACCGCCCGUCACUCCAUGGGAGUCGGAAAUGCCCGAAGUCAGUACAAAACCGCAAGGAGGGAGCUGCCGAAG
This 1000-nucleotide ribosomal RNA is filed under the name uncultured bacterium. RNAcentral describes it as "bacterial SSU rRNA". It matches the Rfam family "Bacterial small subunit ribosomal RNA", at positions 471 to 1461 of the family's 1533-position model. The record is from RNAcentral.